GCCGGGAUCCCGCGGACCACACCUCCCCCGGACCCCCUCCCCCACUUCCCACUCUUGGACCCUCGGACCCCUCUGCCCCCUCGUCCCUCCUCUCCCUGCCACCCGGACCCCCACCUCCAGCCGGCUCUGCGCCGGCCGCCCCCAACCGGGAGGCUCCGGGCUCGGUGUUCCCACGGCGUCACGUGGGGAGGGGCGGGGCGAGGGAGGCAGGUGGGUGGGGGACACGCAUGCGCAGGGUGAACGCGCUCCCGCUCCGUUGGCGCCCGCUUGCGUAGGGUGGACGCGCUCCCUUUGGCGCCGGGAGGGGGGGGGGGUCUGCGGAGCGCGGUCGCGGGUGGUCGCGUCCUACCGCCGGAGCCCGUUCAAAGCUCUUUCUCGGACGGCGGAAUCGGAACCUGCAGAGACCUUGGCCCAGCGGCAAGAAGAAGCUAGUAUUUCAGUCGGCUCACCUCCCUGAUGUCACAGAACCGUCACAAAAGCCUAGAAGGAUCCCUGUUUGAGAUGAGAAGGCCCAGCCCCGGAGAGCAGAGAUGGGAACGUGGCAUCUGAGUUCCAGGUGCACCGUGUUCAGUGCUGUGUGUGGAUCGGGGGGGGAUUAUCCUCACAACUCUGAGGGUUCCCACCCAUUUUACACAUCAGGAAGCCGAGGCACGGCGACGUCCAGGAACCUGCCAGGAGCGCUGUCCUGGUGAGGGUCCUGGCAGCUGCGAUGCCUUCAGCUGUGUCACCACACCCUGACUCAGGGCUUAGACGUAAAAGAUGUCGAUUGUCGUAUGUGAGAAGAGACCCCGGGUGGACGGCGCUGCGCUUACCUCAGCAGCUUGGUGACCUCAUCGUGGAUUCAGGCUCUUCUCUUGUGUUGAGGUGAAUGGUGUCCCCGUGUUCAGGUCAACCUGGAACCUCAGAACACGGUCUUGUUUGGAAGUAGGGUCUUUGCAGAUGUAUGACCCGAGGAUGAGGCCAUGCUGGAGGAGGGUGGGCCCUGAAUCGGUGACCGGUGUCCUUGUGAGCCGCGUGAGGGCCGGAGGAGGAGGCCACACGAGGGAGGCGGAGAUUGGAGUGACCUGGCUACACCAGGGGCUGGACAGCGGCAAGGACCCUCCCCGGAGCCCCCGGAGGGAAGCACUCUGCACCACUUGGAUGUCAGGCCUCUGGUCUCCAGACUCUGAGGGCACGUGCUUCUGUUGUUGCGAGCCGUCCAGUCUGUGGUGCCCUGUUACGGCCUCCCCAGGAGGCGAAUACGCCACCCUUGACGUGACUUCCCUCUCGGAUUAGUUCCUUUCCUGGCUGCAAAGUAGUGGCUGUGGCUCCACCUGUCCCGUCAGCCUGCAGAAAAGACCCUCUUCCCGCGGGGCCUUUUUUGAAUAAGGGGACCAUUCCCAGAAAUCCCUAGCCAGCUUCCCCUCAUGUCUCUUUGGCCAGACUUGUGUCCUGUGACUUUCCCUAAACCGAGGUCAUCGCUGCCCAAAGAACUUUCUGAGAUGAUGGAAUGUUCUAGAUCUGUGCUGUCCAGUAUGGUAGCUCCACGUGACCCUGAGCCAUUGAAAUGUGGCCGGUGUGACUAACAAACUAAAUUUUAAUUUUACUUAACUUUAAAUUCAACUGGUCCCACGAGGCACGUGCUUACUGUGCUGGGUGGCUCGUCUAGUUUCCUUUGGUCUUUGGACCUUGUCUGAGGAGGUGGGUAUCUGAGCAGAAGUGAACCUGUGAUGUGGACAAGCCAGAAUUUGCACCAAGCUGCGGGGACUGCUAACCUUGUUUUCCUCCCACUCCUACAAUUUUGACACUGCCGACCUCUCCAUUCACUAGAAUUUCCCUGAUGAGACCUUUCUGCUUUUUGAGGUGCCCUCGCUCGUGUCCUUUCAGGCGCUCUUCCUGAAUGAAGGUUUUUACAGCGUGUGCCCAACUCUGCCCGAGGUGCUGUGGGGCACAGAAAGACAGUGACCCUGCCCAGGCAGACUGACUCUGGGAGCGGAAGGGAGCUCGAGCCUGGACACGUGUCAGUGAAGUGACUAGGACUCCGUGUCGCCCAGUCUUUCCUGAAGUGUGGUUCUCAUAUCCUGGCAAUACACAAGGAACUAUGGGAGGCUGACUGAGUAGAGCUGUCCUUUGGCCGCAAAUGUAGCUUAUUCCUUGAAGGAAAGGGGCAGAGUGUCUCCAGGGUGGACUAGCUCAGUGGCUCGACAACAUCCCUAAAGACCUAGGUCUUUCCAUCUGUUUGCACUGCCAUCUUCAGCAUGCUGGCUUAGCCGCCCUCGUGGUCACAAAACGGUAGCCACAGCACCAGGCAUCACAUGUGGAUGCAGUCACGUGUACUGGAAGAAAAGACCAUUUCUUCCCUAGUUCUCUUUUUCAGAAACUCUCCACCAUUCCUCCCCACCCCCUCCCUCAUUUCCCCCAAAUGGCAAAAUCCAUUCACAGUAAGGGAAAUGGGAUUACCAAAGUGGCUUAAACCAAUUAUGAGCAGUGUGAGGUGCCUAGACAUCUGGGAACUUCUUGGGCUCCACCCCAGAGCUGGAAACUCCGCGAGUGGGCCCAGUGAUCGACGUUUCCAGGUGAUUCCAACAUCCAUUAAUGUUUGGGAACAAACAGUUUAAGACAAUUGCUUGCAAUCCUGUUGGAUUAACCACGACUUACGAAUGCCUGGUGUUUUGAAACCCUCCACCCUGAAAUGAACUUGAGAUACAUAUAACACUUACCCGCACAUUCAUUUCCCCUUAAAAUUCACGCGGUGGCAUAAAGCAACAGUGAAAAGAGAAGCUCAAGGACAACGCUUGAUGGUAACCUAGGGGGUGUUUCAGGAUGCAAACACGUACGCUUCGUCCUGUAGGAGCACCGUGAUGGCAACAGGGUCCGGUGCCUUUUGAGACCCCCCCAUGCACGUGGCAGCCACAGACACCGUUGGAGGUGCUGUAUACAACUUGGCAUUCCAAAGUAGGGGGCACCUCUUGGUAAAGUCUGAGCUACACAGAAUAAAUAACGUGUCAAUACGUGUGAUGGUUUUGUUAAUUCCGUGGGUAUUAAAACCAUACUGAAAAGUGAAACAUGGAAUCACCACGCGACCCGGCAAUCCCGCUUCUGGGAGUGCACCUCAAACAAUUCAAACCAGGGACUCAAAUGGGGAUUUGCACCCCCGUGUUCUCAGCAGCACACUCCACAACAGCCAAAGACAAAAAAAAGUGGACACACCCCGAGUGUCCAUCGGUGGAUGAAGGAUGAACACGACGUGGUCCGUCCACACCCCGGAGGAUGACCCAGCCCCAGGAAGGGAGGACGUCCUGCCACCUGCCACCACAUGGACGGACCUGGAGGUCACUGUGUGCAGUGACAGGAACCAGACACAGAAGGACACGUCCCGCGUGACCCCACUCACAGGGGGUCCCUAGAGGAGAGACAGAGAGUAGACGCUGGGAGCCAGGGGUGCGGCAGGGGGCUGGGAGUCAGUGCUUCACGGGACAGGGUCUCAGUCUGGGGAGACGGAAAGUUCUGGAGACGGGUGGCGGGGGCGGCUGCGCGACAGUGUGAGUGCGCUCGAUGCUGUUGAGCUGUGCGCUUGGAGACGGUUACGAUGAGGGGCGCCGGGCUGGCUUGGUGGAGCAUGCGACUCUUGACCUUGGGGCUGUGAGAUCGAGCCCCACAUUGGGCGUGGAGAUUACUUAAAAAUAAAAUCUUUAAAGAAAAAGAAAUGGUUAAGGUGGCAAAUCUUAUGUGUUUUCUACCACAGGAAGUGAACAGAAGUUGCCUCCCAUGGCUUGGGUUAUGACUGAGACGAGUUAAGAUUGGAGGCACGGUGGUCACACAGGGUUUCCCACAUACACGAGAGCCUGCAGGUCAUUCUGAGGUCCCUGGGGACCUAGGGCGGUUGGCAUCAAUGGGAGACUUCCCGUGUUAGGAGCAGGGCGCCCCCGCUUUCUGAAGAGCUCACACUGGUCGUCUUGCCGUCCCUGGGUCUGUGUCUGACUGGUGUUUGCUCACGAUUGGGCUCAGGUUGUGCGUUCUGGGCGAGCAGCACAGAGCUGUGUGUUCCCCACUGAGCAAAGCAGGAGGCAGGGACGGGUGCCAGUCCCGAUACCGGUUCUGGAAACUUGGAUCGCUUGGUGUACUGGUACGAAUGGCGCUCCCCCAAAUUCGUGUCUGCCAGAGCCUUAGAAUGUGACUUUCUUUGGAAAUAGGGUCUUUGCAGACGUAAUCUAGUUUAGAUGACAGGAUGCCGUAAAUCUACACGACCGGUGUCCUAAAAGGAGAGAAGUUGGACGCAGACACACAUGUGACAACAGGGGCAGAGACUGGAGUGUGCCUGGCAGCCGAGGACAUCUGGCCACCCCCGUCAGAAGCUGGAGGACGCAAAGCGUCAGCUGCCCUGGAGCCCUCGGCUGCAGUGUGGUCCUGCCCACGCUUUGGGUUUCGAUGUUUGGCCUCCAGAACUGAGAGAAAAUAAAUUCCUGUUGUUCUAAGCUGU
Long non-coding RNA from Felis catus (domestic cat), 4459 nucleotides. RefSeq lists it as uncharacterized. The record is from RefSeq and is a predicted model, not a curated record. NCBI's taxonomy places the organism in Eukaryota, Metazoa, Chordata, Mammalia, Carnivora, Felidae. The transcript is spliced from 2 exons.